Molecule: long non-coding RNA, 1491 nt
Organism: Lathyrus oleraceus (garden pea)
Lineage: Eukaryota; Viridiplantae; Streptophyta; Magnoliopsida; Fabales; Fabaceae
Exons: 2
Source: RefSeq, a predicted model, not a curated record
UCUACAUCUUAGUAUCGAGAUUAAAGCGGAAGAAGGAGAAAUGGAAGAAAUCACCAACCUAUAGGGUCGAGGUUCACCCUGGGAAACUUUGAAGAAUCUUGAAGAUGGAGAUGAAGAGAGAAGACCAGAGGAAGAAAACCAUCGUUUUCAAGUUUUACUCAAAGUCGACUCAAUUCUAGGUGAAAGCUUGCCAAGCAUCAAAAAGAGGGAGAAUGUAGUUGCAUGUCCCUAAUACAUUCAGGGGGAGAACCCACAAUAUGUUUAUUUUGUUGCUUGGUUUGUCACUUUUAUUUUUAUUUACUUUCAAUUAUUGAGUCUCCUUCAUGAUUGCACCUCUUUGGAUCAAGUUUUGAAAUGAUUCAUUUUUAGCAUGCAUAAACAAUUGGCUAGGUUUUCACUUGAUCAUGAUGUUUUUAAUCAAUUGCAUGAGUCAUAUAUGUUAUUGAUUCAAGUUAGAUGGAAAGAAAAAUCUCAAAGUCAUUUGAAAAUCAUGAAAAAUUGAGAUUUUGGGUGUUUGAUUUGAAUUAAGCACAUAUCCUGAUUCAAAUCACUUUGGGCAGGGGAAAAUCAUAAAUUUCCAAACAAUUUGAUUUGAAUAAAUUUUUACACAUGAUUGGAACCAGCCAAUUACGAGUCACCUCUGCUAGAAUUGAUUUGAAUAAGACUUUAUACCUCAUUCGAAUCAGACAAUUUUCCAUAAUUUUUAUUUGGCUCAGCUUGAUUGAGUCGAAUCAAAAUUAACACAUGAUUCGAAUCACGGGGUCUUUGAUUUGAAUUAGACUUUGCUCUUGAUUCGAAUCAACUAAAAAAUGGGUCAAAACUUUGUUUUUCUUUUAUUCCACUUCACUUGUUCGGUUGAUUUAAAUCAUGAAAUACUCUUGAUUCGAAUCUAACUAACUUUUCAACCAUAUUUUGUGUUUAAUCUCAAGCACAUAUAAACCCUUUUUGUCAUCAUUUUUCAAGUAACAAAUCAACAAAUUCAAAAUCCUUUGUGUGUGAUUCUGUGAAAAAUCAAUACCCAUUAUUUUUGAAAGUUUAAAGUUCUUGCAACGAACUUCUUACAUCUUCAACUUCAGCUUGACUUCAGAUCUUGAUCAUGAGAGAUUUGUAAUUUUAUUGUAGAAGACGAUGUCUUAAAACUAAUCGUUAUUGAAUAUUAGGUAAAGAUUCUCAGAUAGCUUGCAAGAUUGAGGUUGUUGUCAUUAGUGCUAAGAAAUUCCAGUGAAAAGAAUGGGGUUCUUCUUUCCAGAUUGGCUUGGUAGUGGUUGUGUAGAAGGCCACAGAUAAGGCUGAGUUUUUCUCAAAUCUUCGAAAAAUUUAUUGCUCAAGGAAUUGGUAGGAUCAAUGCGUUGAUUACUACAUAUAAUACUUAGAUCAAAUUUUUGAGAUUGGAAGGUUCAAUAAGUGUUAAUCGAGUAAAAUUAUGCAGAAGAGUUUGUCAUUAUUAUGUAUACACGUCAAAAUUCAGAUAUGAAAUUUUAUAAAUCUCAA